Long non-coding RNA from Helianthus annuus (common sunflower), 2113 nucleotides. RefSeq lists it as uncharacterized. The transcript is spliced from 11 exons. NCBI's taxonomy places the organism in Eukaryota, Viridiplantae, Streptophyta, Magnoliopsida, Asterales, Asteraceae. The record is from RefSeq and is a predicted model, not a curated record.
UUCUCCUUCACGCUUUCUCAUUUGACAACCCUAAUUUUAGAACCUGCCGCUGCAAUUCUUCUUGCCUUUAACCUCACGCUGUAACGGUGGAACAUUAAGAACCUGCAAAAGCUUCAUAUCUUUGGAUCCCAAAACCAUCGAUUUGUCUCAACCAAGUUCUUUUCAUGUUUGCUAGAUGUUUUUCAAAUCACAGAGCCUAGAUGGGGAUAUGAUUGAUUGUGUACACAUCUCUCACCGGCCCGCUUUUGAUCAUCCAUUUCUCAAAGACCCUUGAUAUUUUUGCAAUUAAUCAGAGAUGAAGAUCGGAUAAUAAAGGUUUUGAGCAGUUAGCUUAUGGACAUUUGAAUAUUGAAGAAAAGAGUAGAAAGGAGGUUAUAUGUGUUUUCUGGAAGAUGCAUGAGCUGGAAAUUAAACCAAAUGGUGACGUGUUUGGCUAUUUUGAAUGAUUGUAGUUGUUGCAGUUCGUUUGAAGAAGCUUCAUUGCUAUUGGAAUAACUUAGUUUAUUUGAUAACCAAGUUGACGGUGUGGCCCAUGGGCGUUUGAUGGGCUAUAGAGAAAACGUCUGGUCCAUUCUCUCUCUUUUCAAUGAGGUCAAACUUAUGGAUUCUGCAACUGCAUCCGCUUCCAAAGAAGAAGACGAAGGCUUUGGGAAUGGCUAUUAAAGUUAUCGUCUAUUAUCAUCAAGCUCUUUAGUCCAAAACAGAUUAUGCCUAUUUUUAAAUUGCAGGCCAGUAAGCAAAGAUAGUGUACAACCACUCCAUGAAGGUAUUGUUUGGAUUCUCUAAUAGCCAUCUUAGUAUCGAAAGAAGGGAUGAACUGAAUUACUUUUUUUUUGCAAAGAGAAGUUGUCACCUUCAGGUUAAACGCACUCCAUGGAAGACACCAAUUUAAAAGGUAACGCGUUGAGUGGCAAGGGCAUUGGUACUAUGGUCCAUGCUAAGCAAUAUGGGAGUGACUUAGUUGAACCCAGGGUAUAAUCGACAAUUUAUACCACAACGUCAAGCCAAAACCGUUGAUUGUAGCAUUGUUGGGUUCUUUGAUAAAGAGUGGCUUUCAAAGCUUCUUAAGGUUUUGGGUUCAGACAUUGUUGAUGUAAUAACACUCCAUUUGUAUAAUUUGGACCAGAACUAGGCCUCUCUGGAGGUCGCCAGUUCGAAACUGAGCUGAACCAGGUUUUACCGCAGUGGGCCUUCGAGCGGGCAUUUGAAGACACGUUCAAUCAAUUGAGCGACAUCAGUAAUCGUUCUUCACAUUGCCACUAGGUGGUUCCAGCUAUUUAAGUUGCAAGUUGCAUUAGCGGGGUUACAAGUGAAGAUCUCUCGGAGAGACCUGAAGCCCAAAUUGAUGAUCGCAACUGGUAGUAUGAAUCCAAUGAUCUGGACAAUGGUUCCACCUCCUUUUCAGCAGAUGGAACCUGCACCAUGGUUUCCACCACUUCGAUUUCAUCUUAAAGCGAUGGAUGUAGAAGACAGCUGUGUUAUUACUCAUGUUCAAUAUAAGCUCUUUCGUGUUCAUGUGAGCAAGAAGAGAGGAAGACACAAAGGAGGUGUGAAACAUAGUUCAGAUGAUACAGGUUCAGGUGUCAAAUUUGUAUCAUGUAAACUGUGUUUGACACAUCCUUUGUUUCUUUCUCUCUUCUUGCUCACAUGAACACGAAAGAGGUUAUCUUGAACAUGAUGUUAUCUAUUAAAGGAGCUUAUAUGAUGACAUAGAAUUGGCUACGUGUCAAUCUCUCAGCUAUGACAAGGUUUAAAGCUAUUGAAUGGCUUGAAAGUAUUUUUGAAUAAUGGAUGUGUUUUUUCACUUUACAAGCACACAUUUACCAUAGACUUAGUUUGGUCAGAUAAUUUGGAAUGGGUCCAACUGGUAAUCAAUUAUGGAUUUGAAGCAACAUAUCAAAGGGAAGUUGUUGAAGUUGGAGGUUGAUCAUCGAAAUACAUCAAGUUAUCAAGAUAUGAUUGUACAGGUUUCAAACCAUAUUGUCAAUUAGAGUAUUUGAUUCAUUUAAGAUUGAUGUGAAACAAUUAUAUAAAGUUUAGUUGAUUUUAUGAUUGAAAUAGUGUGAUUGUAUUAAGAAUUAUAUAUACCUAAGUAACUUGGUGCGUUUUUGUC